AGAACGAACGCUGGCGGCAGGCUUAACACAUGCAAGUCGAACGCGUGUAGCAAUACACGAGUGGCGCACGGGUGAGUAACGCGUGGAUAUCUGCCUUUUGGUUCGGAAUAACCCCGGGAAACUGGGGCUAAUACCGGAUGGUUCCUACGGGAUAAAGAUUUAUCGCCAAAAGAUGAGUCCGCGUCCGAUUAGCUAGUUGGUGGGGUAAUGGCCUACCAAGGCGACGAUCGGUAGCUGGUCUGAGAGGACGAUCAGCCACACUGGGACUGAGACACGGCCCAGACUCCUACGGGAGGCAGCAGUGGGGAAUAUUGGACAAUGGGGGCAACCCUGAUCCAGCCAUGCCGCGUGAGUGAUGAAGGCCUUCGGGUUGUAAAGCUCUUUUGGCGGGGCGAUGAUGACGGUACCGCAGAAUAACGCCCGGCUAACUUCGUGCCAGCAGCCGAC
RNAcentral lists this ribosomal RNA (447 nucleotides) under uncultured bacterium. RNAcentral's name for it is "SSU rRNA". It matches the Rfam family "Bacterial small subunit ribosomal RNA", at positions 26 to 518 of the family's 1533-position model. The record is from RNAcentral.